This 1324-nucleotide ribosomal RNA is filed under the name Coboldia fuscipes. RNAcentral's name for it is "16S ribosomal RNA". The stretch from base 1074 to 1233 matches the Rfam family "Archaeal large subunit ribosomal RNA", at positions 2544 to 2703 of the family's 2987-position model. The record is from RNAcentral. Lineage: Eukaryota; Metazoa; Arthropoda; Insecta; Diptera; Scatopsidae.
UAAAAUUAAAUUAUUUAUUUUUUAAAUUGUAAUUAAUUUGUUAAUUAAAAUAAUAUUAAUUUUUUUUGUUUUAGUAUUUUAUAAAGAAAAAAUUUUUUUAAUUAUAGUAUAUUAGUAUUGAGAAAGAAUUUUGAAAUAUUUUGAAAAUUAAUUAUUUUAAAAGAAAAAUUUAUUUUUUGUACCUUGUGUAUCAGGGUUGAUUAAAUAUUUUAUAUUUAUUUAUAAUUCUCGAAUUUAAGAGAUUUAAUAAUUUAUUAUAGUUAUUGUGGCAUAAAUAUUAUAAAUAAAUUAUUUGAAAUGAAACGUUAAUCGUUCUUGAAUAUAUCUAGUUUUUUAAGAAAUAAAUUUAAUUUAUAUAAUAUUAUAAUUAUUUAUUAUUUUAUUAAUAAAUAAUAUUUUUAUUAUAAGUAUUUUAAGGGAUAAGCUUUAAAAUAAAAAGUUAUAAUUAAUUUUAUAAAAAGAUAAUAUAGGCUUAGAAAUAGUUAAUAUUAAAAAAUAUGUUAUAAUUUAUUUUUAAAAGUAUAAUAUUUUAUUUUAUUUAAAUUUUUAUUAAAAUGUUUAUUUUAAUUUUUAAAAUAAAGUAAUAAUGAUUAAAUUAGUAAAUAUUUAUUUAAUAAUAAAAAGAUAUUGAAAGGUUUUAUUAAAGAAUUCGGCAAAUAUAAUUUUCACCUGUUUAUCAAAAACAUGGCUUUUUGUAUUUAAUAUAAAGUCUAACCUGCCCACUGAUAUAAUAUUAAAUGGCCGCGGUAUUUUGACCGUGCAAAGGUAGCAUAAUCAUUAGUCUUUUAAUUGAAGGCUUGUAUGAAUGGUUGAAUGAGAAAUUAGCUGUUUCAAUAAAAUUUUUAAUUGAAUUUAAUAUUUUAGUAAAAAAGCUAAAAUAUAAUUUAAAGACGAGAAGACCCUAUAGAGUUUUAUAAUUUUAGUAUUAAAUUUAUAAAGAUUAUUUAAAGUUUAAUAUAAAAAAUUAUUUUAUUGGGGUGAUAAUAAUAUUUAAAAAACUAUUAUAUUUAUUUUACAAUGAUUUUUGUUUAUUUGAUCCAAUAUUAUUGAUUAAUAAUUUAAAUUACCUUAGGGAUAACAGCGUAAUAUUUUUAGAGAGUUCUAAUCGAUAAAAAUGAUUGCGACCUCGAUGUUGGACUAAGAGUUAUUUUUAGGUGUAGAAGUUUAAAGUUGAGGUCUGUUCGACCUAUAAAUUCUUACAUGAUCUGAGUUCAAACCGGUGUGAGCCAGGUUGGUUUCUAUCUUUAAUAAAUUAAUAUAUUUUAGUACGAAAGGACCAAAUAUAUAAAAUAUAAAUUUUUAAUAAUUGAAUAAUAUUAAAUUU